RNAcentral lists this ribosomal RNA (462 nucleotides) under uncultured bacterium. RNAcentral's name for it is "partial 16S ribosomal RNA". It matches the Rfam family "Bacterial small subunit ribosomal RNA", at positions 28 to 507 of the family's 1533-position model. The record is from RNAcentral.
GACGAACGCUGGCGGCGUGCUUAACACAUGCAAGUCGACGGUAAGGCCCUUCGGGGUACCCGAGUGGCGAACGGGUGAGUCACGCGUGAGUAACCUGCCCUUCACUCUGGGAUAACAGUUGGAAACGGCUGCUAAUACCGGAUAUUCAGCUCCUGUCGCAUGGUGGGGGUUUGAAAGUUUUGGUGGUGGAGGAUGGGCUCGCGUCCUAUCAGCUUGUUGGUGGGGUGAUGGCCGACCAAGGCGUCGACGGGUAGCCGGCCUGAGAGGGCGAUCGGCCACAGUGGGACUGAGAUACGGCCCAAACUCCUACGGGAGGCAGCAGUGGGGAAUAUUGCACAAUGGGCGGAAGCCUGAUGCAGCAACGCCGCGUGCGGGAUGACGGCCUUCGGGUUGUAAACCGCUUUCAGCAGGGACGAAGCGGAAGUGACGGUACCUGCAGAAGAAGCACCGGCUAACUACGUG